Molecule: unclassified non-coding RNA, 240 nt
Filed under: soil metagenome
Description: partial contains 5.8S ribosomal RNA, internal transcribed spacer 2, and large subunit ribosomal RNA
Source: RNAcentral
AACCUAGCACACCUGCGGUGUGUACCUGCGGAGGGAUCAUUACACAAAUAACAUAUGAAGGCUGUACGCGGCUGUGCCCUUUGGGUGCAGCGUCUGCUGAGGCUGGAUUAUUUAUUUUUCACCCUUGUCUUUUGCGCACUUGUUGUUUCCUGGGCGGGUUCGCCCGCCACCAGGACCACAUGAUAAACCUUUUUUAUGCAGUUGCAAUCAGCGUCAGUACAACGAAAUGUAAAUCAUUUA